GAACGCUGGCGGCAUGCCUAACACAUGCAAGUCGAACGAGGCCCUUCGGGGUUUAGUGGCGCACGGGUGCGUAACGCGUGGGAAUUUGCCCUUUGGUUUGGAAUAACAGCUGGAAACGGCUGCUAAUUCCGGAUGAUGACGAGAGUCCAAAGAUUUAUUGCCAGAGGAUGAGCCCGCGUUGGAUUAGGUAGUUGGUGGGGUAAAGGCCUACCAAGCCGACGAUCCAUAGCUGGUUUGAGAGGAUGAUCAGCCCCACUGGGACUGAGACACGGCCCCGACUCCUUCGGGAGGCAGCAGUGGGGAAUAUUGGACAAUGGGCGCAAGCCUGAUCCAGCAAUGCCGCGUGAGUGAUGAAGGCCCUAGGGUUGUAAAGCUUUUUUUCCCGGGAAGAUAAUGACUGUUCCAGGGGGAAUAAGCCCCGGCUAACUCCGUG
Molecule: ribosomal RNA, 433 nt
Filed under: uncultured bacterium
Lineage: Bacteria
Description: bacterial SSU rRNA
Rfam family: Bacterial small subunit ribosomal RNA
Source: RNAcentral